Molecule: transfer RNA, 72 nt
Filed under: Armillaria ostoyae
Lineage: Eukaryota; Fungi; Basidiomycota; Agaricomycetes; Agaricales; Physalacriaceae
Rfam family: tRNA
About the family: Transfer RNA (tRNA) molecules are approximately 80 nucleotides in length.
Source: RNAcentral
GGCCGUGUGGCGUAAUGGCAACGCGUCUGACUACGAAUCAGGAGAUUGCAGGUUCGACCCCUGUCUUGGUCA